RNAcentral lists this ribosomal RNA (494 nucleotides) under uncultured bacterium. RNAcentral's name for it is "bacterial SSU rRNA". It matches the Rfam family "Bacterial small subunit ribosomal RNA", at positions 30 to 524 of the family's 1533-position model. The record is from RNAcentral.
AUUGAACGCUGGCGGAAUGCUUUACACAUGCAAGUCGAACGGUAGAGGGGGCAACCCCUUGAGAGUGGCGAACGGGUGAGUAAUAUAUCGGAACGUGCCCAGUCGUGGGGAUAACGUAGCGAAAGUUACGCUAAUACCGCAUACGAUCUAAGGAUGAAAGCGGGGGAUCGCAAGACCUCGCGCGAUUGGAGCGGCCGAUAUCAGAUUAGGUAGUUGGUGGGGUAAAGGCUCACCGAGCCAACGAUCUGUAGCUGGUCUGAGAGGACGACCAGCCACACUGGAACUGAGACACGGUCCAGACUCCUACGGGAGGCAGCAGUGGGGAAUUUUGGACAAUGGACGCAAGUCUGAUCCAGCCAUUCCGCGUGCAGGAUGAAGGCCCUCCGGUGUAAACUGCUUUGUACGGAACGAAACGGUGAGCUCUAAUACAGUUUGCUAAUGACGGUACCGUAAGAAUAAGCACCGGCUAACUACGUGCCAGCAGCCGCGGUAAA